AGAGUAGUAUUUCUAAAAAAGAAUAUAUGAUUUGCAAUUAUAAGAUGUAAAAUAAUUACCUACUUUA
This 67-nucleotide transfer RNA is filed under the name Neotrypaea harmandi. RNAcentral's name for it is "tRNA-Ala". Lineage: Eukaryota; Metazoa; Arthropoda; Malacostraca; Decapoda; Callianassidae. RNAcentral also lists the same sequence under 2 other names. The record is from RNAcentral.